RNAcentral lists this ribosomal RNA (253 nucleotides) under uncultured bacterium. RNAcentral describes it as "partial 16S ribosomal RNA". It matches the Rfam family "Bacterial small subunit ribosomal RNA", at positions 524 to 776 of the family's 1533-position model. The record is from RNAcentral.
UACAGAGGUGGCAAGCGUUGUUCGGAAUUACUGGGCGUAAAGGGCGCGUAGGCGGCCAUCUAAGUCAGACGUGAAAUCCCCCGGCUUAACCUGGGAACUGCGUCUGAUACUGGAAGGCUUGAGUAUGGGAGAGGGAUGUAGAAUUCCAGGUGUAGCGGUGAAAUGCGUAGAUAUCUGGAGGAACACCGGUGGCGAAGGCGGCAUCCUGGACCGACACUGACGCUGAGGAGCGAAAGCCAGGGGAGCAAACGGG